GUCUAGAACGACUCUCGGCAACGGAUAUCUCGGCUCUUGCAUCGAUGAAGAACGUAGCGAAAUGCGAUACUUGGUGUGAAUUGCAGAAUCCCGUGAACCAUCGAGUCUUUGAACGCAAGUUGCGCCCGAAGCCAUUAGGCUAAGGGCACGCCUGCCUGGGUGUCACCAA
Molecule: ribosomal RNA, 169 nt
Filed under: Smithia sensitiva
Lineage: Eukaryota; Viridiplantae; Streptophyta; Magnoliopsida; Fabales; Fabaceae
Also listed under: 1 other name
Description: 5.8S ribosomal RNA
Rfam family: 5.8S ribosomal RNA
About the family: 5.8S ribosomal RNA (5.8S rRNA) is a component of the large subunit of the eukaryotic ribosome. It is transcribed by RNA polymerase I as part of the 45S precursor that also contains 18S and 28S rRNA.
Source: RNAcentral